AUUACCUGGAUAUCCACGGNAAUUCUAGAGCUAAUACAUGCGUCCAGACCCNACUUUUGCGGAAGGGUUGUGCUUAUUAGACACUGAACCAUCCCGGCUUGCCCGGUUUCGAGGUGAUUGAUGGUAAUCGAACGAAUCGCAUGCUUCGGCGGCGAUGAUUCAUUCAAGUUUCUGACCUAUCAGCUUCCGACGGUAGGGUAUUGGCCUACCGUGGCUUUGACGGGUAACGGANAAUUAGGGUUUGAUUCCGGAGAGGGAGCCUGAGAAACGGCUACCACAUCUAAGGAAGGNAGCAGGCGCGCAAAUUACCCAAUCCUGACACAGGGAGGUAGUGACAAGAAAUACCAAUAUGAGGCUCUUUUGUCUUGUAAUUGGAAUGAGCACAAUUCAAAAAGCUGUUCGAGUAU
RNAcentral lists this ribosomal RNA (407 nucleotides) under uncultured marine alveolate. RNAcentral's name for it is "SSU rRNA". It matches the Rfam family "Eukaryotic small subunit ribosomal RNA", at positions 134 to 544 of the family's 1831-position model. The record is from RNAcentral.